Molecule: microRNA precursor, 94 nt
Filed under: Marmota monax (woodchuck)
Lineage: Eukaryota; Metazoa; Chordata; Mammalia; Rodentia; Sciuridae
Source: RNAcentral
AUAAAUCAUCUGGGUACCUUGUUAAAAUACAGAUUCUGAAUCAGGGUAGGGCCCGAGAGUCUGUAUUUCUAACCAGCUCUUGAGUGGCACUGAU